This 125-nucleotide ribosomal RNA is filed under the name Sinocyclocheilus rhinocerous. The record is from RNAcentral. Lineage: Eukaryota; Metazoa; Chordata; Actinopteri; Cypriniformes; Cyprinidae.
GCCAGCCAUACAAACAUGGACAUAAUCAAUGGCCAAAUCUCAUCUGAUCUCCGAAGCUAAGCAAGGUUUGGCUUGGUUAAGUACAUGGAUGGCAGACCACCUGGACAUAACAGGUGCUGUAAGCU